UCUAAUGAGCACAAUUAUUGGGGAGGCUGGCCCAAAAGAUUUCAUUCAGAUAUUCAAUUAAGAAAAAGAAAUAAAAAGGAAGAAUGGGAAAGAUGUAAGAUAGAGCAUAAGAGAGAAGAUAGAAGAGAAAAGAAAUCGAUGUUUUUUUAGAUUAAUUUCAAAAUAAUCAGAUCUAAGGUUGCACUUGUGCAUCGUCGGACAAUCUUAAAAGAUAAUCUAGAUUACUUAUAGGAUAGAUUGUCACUAUUAAAUUAUCAGUAAUAUUGAUUACUAUGUUUGAUACAUGC
RNAcentral lists this long non-coding RNA (287 nucleotides) under Elaeis guineensis (African oil palm). RNAcentral describes it as "long non-coding RNA (EGUI_LNC024841)". The record is from RNAcentral. Lineage: Eukaryota; Viridiplantae; Streptophyta; Magnoliopsida; Arecales; Arecaceae.